AUCCUCUCUCAUAACCUCUCUUUUUCUCCGCCCAUGUUCUUCCUGCCCUUUCCCUCUUUUACUCUCUGUUUCUUCGUCCCACUGUCACUCUCCCCACCCCCACUUUUUUCUCGCUUUUUACUCAAAUUACGUUGCUAUGUUCUUCUCUUCGUCAAAGUAUGAAACUCUGAAUUUUUUUUUAUAUUUAAAUUUCAGUUCUUUGAGAUUACAACUCAGUUCUUGGCGUUGGAUUAAAUCCAAAGCAAAUCCAACUAGGUAUUCCUCCUUGAAGCAAAGAGGGAAAUCUGGGCUGUGGGUUCGUUGGGCUUCAUAAGAGGGAGAGAAAUCAAUUUGAAGCAAAGAGGAAGUUGGGUUCGUGAGACGAAGGAGAUCGGCGAGACGGCAAGAUUUGGUGAUGGGUUUGCGGGAUGAUGGAGAUCAGCGAGACGACAGGAUUUGGCGACUGGAUUUGGCGAUGCAUGCUUGCAGAUCGUAAACAAUGAAGAUAUUAGAGAGCCAGGAUUAGCAAUUCCAUCCUUUUUGGGGGUCCUAGCUAAGACGAGCUUUGGUGCAGAGAUAUUAACAUUAUUUUCGGGAGUCCAUUGAGUGAGGAUAUACGACAUUAACCUGGAGAAACUUCAGACCCAGCUUCAAAGACACCAAUGUUUUGCACAUGUAAAGGCUUCUUGGAAACUCAAAAGGAAGGAGUGUUAAAUUUUGCUUGCGCACGACUCCAAAAGAGCGCAGGACUCCAAAAGGGACAUGUAUGUUUGUCACUUAAUACUAUGGUUUAGUAGUAUAUUUUUCUACUUGUAAGUAGGAGAUCUUACGUUCGAGCACCGUGGAUAACGGCCUUUAUACUCUCAUAGUAUCAAAAGAAACAAAAGAAAAAAGCAAAUAUGCUCAAGCUCCUCUCAAUGAGGCUGAAAUAAAAAGAUCUAAGCUAGAUCACAUUGGACAACUUCUUUCCAAUCCUACAGAGUUUCAAAAA
Malus domestica (apple) is the source of this 970-nucleotide non-coding RNA. NCBI's taxonomy places the organism in Eukaryota, Viridiplantae, Streptophyta, Magnoliopsida, Rosales, Rosaceae. The record is from RefSeq and is a predicted model, not a curated record.